Molecule: ribosomal RNA, 468 nt
Filed under: uncultured bacterium
Lineage: Bacteria
Description: partial 16S ribosomal RNA
Rfam family: Bacterial small subunit ribosomal RNA
Source: RNAcentral
GACGAACGCUGGCGGCGUGCUUAACACAUGCAAGUCGAACGGAAAGGCCCUGCUUUUGUGGGGUGCUCGAGUGGCGAACGGGUGAGUAACACGUGAGUAACCUGCCCUUGACUUUGGGAUAACUUCAGGAAACUGGGGCUAAUACCGGAUAGGAGCUCCUGCUGCAUGGUGGGGGUUGGAAAGUUUCGGCGGUUGGGGAUGGACUCGCAGCUUAUCAGCUUGUUGGUGGGGUAGUGGCUUACCAAGGCUUUGACGGGUAGCCGGCCUGAGAGGGUGACCGGCCACAUUGGGACUGAGAUACGGACCAGACUCCUACGGGAGGCAGCAGUGGGGAAUAUUGCACAAUGGGCGGAAGCCUGAUGCAGCAACGCCGCGUGCGGGAUGACGGCCUUCGGGUUGUAAACCGCUUUCGCCUGUGACGAAGCGUGAGUGACGGUAAUGGGUAAAGAAGCACCGGCUAACUACGUG